Molecule: ribosomal RNA, 454 nt
Filed under: uncultured bacterium
Lineage: Bacteria
Description: bacterial SSU rRNA
Rfam family: Bacterial small subunit ribosomal RNA
Source: RNAcentral
UACGGGAGGCAGCAGUGGGGAAUAUUGCACAAUGGGCGCAAGCCUGAUGCAGCCAUGCCGCGUGUAUGAAAAAGGCCUUCGGGUUGUAAAGUACUUUCAGUCGUGAGGAAGGUGUUAAGGUUAAUAACCUUAGCAAUUGACGUUAGCGACAGAAGAAGCACCGGCUAACUCCGUGCCAGCAGCCGCGGUAAUACGGAGGGUGCGAGCGUUAAUCGGAAUUACUGGGCGUAAAGGGCACGCAGGCGGUUAAUUAAGUUGGAUGUGAAAUUCCCGGGCUUAACCUGGGAAUGGCAUUCAAGACUGGUUAGCUAGAGUCUUGUAGAGGGGGUAGAAUUCCAUGUGUAGCGGUGAAAUGCGUAGAGAUGUGGAGGAAUACCGGUGGCGAAGGCGGCCCCUGGGACAAAGACUGACGCUCAUGUGCGAAAGCGUGGGGAGCAAACAGGGAUUAGAUACC